ACGGGUGCGGAACACGUGUGCACCUGCCUUAUCUGGAUAGCUUUCGAAGAGAUUAAUACCCCAUAUAUGUUGAAUGGCAUCAUUCGAGAUUGAAACUCCGGUGAUAGAGAUGGCACGCGCAGAUAAAUAGUGUGAGGUACGGUCACAGUCUACAUCUUAGGGGGCUGAAGGUGAUUCCCCACAACUGGUACUGAAAACCGGGACCAAAUCUUACGGAGGCAAUGAGGAAUUAUUUGGGACAAUGGGGUUGAAGAAGCCCUGAUUCCAGCCAAUCCCGCGUUGAAAGGGACGAACUGCCCUUAUUGGGGUUGUAAACUUCUUUUUGUAUAGGGAUAAAACCUACCCUCGUUGAAGGGUAGCUGAAGGUACUAUAACGAAUAAGCACCGGCUAACUCCGUGCCAAGCAGCCGCGGUAAUACGGAGGGUGCAAGCGUUAUCCGGAUUUAUUGGGUUCAAAGGGUCCCGUAGCGGAUCUGUAAGUCAGGUGGUGAAAUCUCACAGCUUAACUGUGAAACUGCCAUUGAUACUGCAGGUCUUGAGUGUUGUUGAAGUAGCUGGAAUAAGUAGUGUAGCGGUGAAAUGCAUAGAUUUACUUAGAAC
Molecule: ribosomal RNA, 600 nt
Filed under: uncultured bacterium
Lineage: Bacteria
Description: bacterial SSU rRNA
Rfam family: Bacterial small subunit ribosomal RNA
Source: RNAcentral